This 252-nucleotide ribosomal RNA is filed under the name uncultured bacterium. RNAcentral's name for it is "partial 16S ribosomal RNA". It matches the Rfam family "Bacterial small subunit ribosomal RNA", at positions 524 to 776 of the family's 1533-position model. The record is from RNAcentral.
UACGAGGGGGGCGAGCGUUGUUCGGAAUUACUGGGCGUAAAGCGUGCGUAGGUGGUUUGUUAAGUCUGUUGUGAAAGCCCCGGGCUCAACCUGGGAAUGGCAAUGGAUACUGGCAGGCUAGAGUGCGGUAGAGGGUAGUGGAAUUCCCGGUGUAGCGGUGAAAUGCGUAGAGAUCGGGAGGAACACCAGUGGCGAAGGCGGCUACCUGGACCAGCACUGACACUGAGGCACGAAGCGUGGGGAUCAAACAGG